GAUCCGGUACAAGUCAUCAGGACUUCACCGCCGUACCCUGAAGACACAGCUGGAGCUGCUGGAGUUGCUGGGGCCACCGGACCCGCAGUACUAGGAACUGAUCUGCUAGCAAGUCCAUCAUCGUCUGAGACCACACAGCCACUCUGAGACCAAAAAUGCAAGAACUGAUCUGCUAGCAAGUCCAUCAUCGUCUGAGACCACACAGCCACUCUGAGACCAAAAAUGCAAGUGAGCUCCAGUGUAAUCAAUAUGUUAUCUAGUUUCUG
Long non-coding RNA from Pseudophryne corroboree (corroboree frog), 266 nucleotides. RefSeq lists it as uncharacterized. The transcript has 3 exons. The record is from RefSeq and is a predicted model, not a curated record. NCBI's taxonomy places the organism in Eukaryota, Metazoa, Chordata, Amphibia, Anura, Myobatrachidae.